This 253-nucleotide ribosomal RNA is filed under the name uncultured bacterium. RNAcentral describes it as "partial 16S ribosomal RNA". It matches the Rfam family "Bacterial small subunit ribosomal RNA", at positions 524 to 776 of the family's 1533-position model. The record is from RNAcentral.
UACGUAGGGUGCCAGCGUUGUCCGGAAUUAUUGGGCGUAAAGAGCUCGUAGGCGGUCUGUCGCGUCUGCUGUGAAAACUCGGGGCUUAACCCCGGGCCUGCAGUGGGUACGGGCAGACUAGAGUGCGGUAGGGGAGACUGGAAUUCCUGGUGUAGCGGUGAAAUGCGCAGAUAUCAGGAGGAACACCGGUGGCGAAGGCGGUGCUCUGGGCCGGAACUGACGCUGAGGAGCGAAAGCGUGGGGAGCAAACAGG